Molecule: ribosomal RNA, 343 nt
Filed under: uncultured bacterium
Lineage: Bacteria
Description: bacterial SSU rRNA
Rfam family: Bacterial small subunit ribosomal RNA
Source: RNAcentral
GAUGAACGCCGGCGGUGUGCCUAAUACAUGCAAGUCGUACGCACUGGCCCAACUGAUUGAUGGUGCUUGCACCUGAUUGACGAUGGAUCACCAGUGAGUGGCGGACGGGUGAGUAACACGUAGGUAACCUGCCCCGGAGCGGGGGAUAACAUUUGGAAACAGAUGCUAAUACCGCAUAACAACAAAAGCCGCAUGGCUUUUGUUUGAAAGAUGGCUUUGGCUAUCACUCUGGGAUGGACCUGCGGUGCAUUAGCUAGUUGGUAAGGUAACGGCUUACCAAGGCGAUGAUGCAUAGCCGAGUUGAGAGACUGAUCGGCCACAAUGGAACUGAGACACGGCCCAA